RNAcentral lists this unclassified non-coding RNA (164 nucleotides) under uncultured Agaricales. Its description in RNAcentral is "sequence contains ITS1". Lineage: Eukaryota; Fungi; Basidiomycota; Agaricomycetes; Agaricales. The record is from RNAcentral.
UUGAUUUUUAAAGAUGUGCUGGCAUUUAAAAUGCAUGUGCACUCUACACAAAAACCAAUAUCCACCUGUGCACAUUCUGUAAGCAAACAGGGUCUUUUGCCCUUUGCUUAUGUCCCUUUACAAACAAUCAUUGAUUUAUUUGAAUGUUAUUAUAAAAACUAAUA